Molecule: ribosomal RNA, 512 nt
Filed under: uncultured bacterium
Lineage: Bacteria
Description: bacterial SSU rRNA
Rfam family: Bacterial small subunit ribosomal RNA
Source: RNAcentral
GAUUCUGGCUCAGGAUGAACGCUAGCUACAGGCUUAACACAUGCAAGUCGAGGGGCAGCAUUGGAGUAGCAAUACUCAGAUGGCGACCGGCGCACGGGUGAGUAACACGUAUCCAACCUGCCGCUUACUCGGGGAUAGCCUUUCGAAAGAAAGAUUAAUACCCGAUGGUAUAAAGAGUUCGCAUGUUCUCUUUAUUAAAGAAUUUCGGUAAGCGAUGGGGAUGCGUUCCAUUAGAUAGUUGGCGGGGUAACGGCCCACCAAGUCUACGAUGGAUAGGGGUUCUGAGAGGAAGGUCCCCCACAUUGGAACUGAGACACGGUCCAAACUCCUACGGGAGGCAGCAGUGAGGAAUAUUGGUCAAUGGACGAGAGUCUGAACCAGCCAAAAGUAGCGUGAAGGAUGACUGCCCUAUGGGUUGUAAACUUCUUUUAUAAGGGAAUAAAGUGAGGGACGUGUCCCUUUUUGUAUGUACCUUAUGAAUAAGGAUCGGCUAACUCCGUGCCAGCCGCCGC